Molecule: ribosomal RNA, 497 nt
Filed under: uncultured bacterium
Lineage: Bacteria
Description: partial 16S ribosomal RNA
Rfam family: Bacterial small subunit ribosomal RNA
Source: RNAcentral
GAUGAACGCUGGCGGCGUGCCUAAUACAUGCAAGUCGAGCGAACAGACGAGGAGCUUGCUUCUCUGACGUUAGCGGCGGACGGGUGAGUAACACGUGGAUAACCUACCUAUAAGACUGGGAUAACUUCGGGAAACCGGAGCUAAUACCGGAUAAUAUAUUGAACCGCAUGGUUCAAUAGUGAAAGACGGUUUUGCUGUCACUUAUAGAUGGAUCCGCGCCGCAUUAGCUAGUUGGUAAGGUAACGGCUUACCAAGGCAACGAUGCGUAGCCGACCUGAGAGGGUGAUCGGCCACACUGGAACUGAGACACGGUCCAGACUCCUACGGGAGGCAGCAGUAGGGAAUCUUCCGCAAUGGGCGAAAGCCUGACGGAGCAACGCCGCGUGAGUGAUGAAGGUCUUCGGAUCGUAAAACUCUGUUAUUAGGGAAGAACAAAUGUGUAAGUAACUGUGCACGUCUUGACGGUACCUAAUCAGAAAGCCACGGCUAACUACGUG